UGCCUAGUCAGUUCUGCGUCCGCUGAGGCUCGGUCACCGCCUCGCUGUCGUCGCGGCGCCCCCGCCCCGUCCUCUGUCCGUACCGCCCCCGGAGCCAGGGCCGAGUCCUCGCCAUGCCGGCCCGGCGGCUGCUGCUGCUGCUGACGCUGCUGCUGCCCGGCCUCGGGAUUUUUGGAAGUACCAGCACAGUGACGCUUCCUGAAACCUUGUUGUUUGUGUCAACGCUGGAUGGAAGUUUGCAUGCUGUCAGCAAGAGGACAGGCUCAAUCAAAUGGACUUUAAAAGAAGAUCCAGUCCUGCAGGUCCCAACACAUGUGGAAGAGCCUGCCUUUCUCCCAGAUCCUAAUGAUGGCAGCCUGUAUACGCUUGGAAGCAAGAACAAUGAAGGCCUGAUGAAACUUCCUUUUACCAUCCCAGAAUUGGUGCAGGCAUCCCCGUGCCGAAGUUCAGAUGGAAUCCUCUACAUGGGUAAGAGUUCCUGUCUCCAGAAACUUGUGUCUCUUUGGUGUAAGUCCCGGAAUCUGGGAAAGUGGCAUGCGGAGAGAGAGGGCGCAGUCACCGCCUUG
RNAcentral lists this small RNA (566 nucleotides) under Pan troglodytes (chimpanzee). RNAcentral's name for it is "retained intron". Lineage: Eukaryota; Metazoa; Chordata; Mammalia; Primates; Hominidae. The record is from RNAcentral.